RNAcentral lists this small nuclear RNA (24 nucleotides) under Arabidopsis thaliana (thale cress). RNAcentral's name for it is "snRNA_08156". Lineage: Eukaryota; Viridiplantae; Streptophyta; Magnoliopsida; Brassicales; Brassicaceae. The record is from RNAcentral.
GAAGAUGCAGAUUCUGACAACAAC